Molecule: non-coding RNA, 73 nt
Organism: Podarcis lilfordi (Lilford's wall lizard)
Lineage: Eukaryota; Metazoa; Chordata; Lepidosauria; Squamata; Lacertidae
Source: the annotation of a GenBank genome assembly
GGCAGUUAGUUCAGCUGGUUAAAGUGUGGUGCUGAUAAUGCCAAGGUUGUGGGUUCAGUUCCCAUGUGGGCCA